CCCGGUAGCUCUGGGCUCUGCGGAUCAUGUCCCGGAUCUCCAUGUUCAGCUCCAUCAGCUUGGUGCAGAUCUCAGUCAGGCUCUGGUUAGACCCCACCAACGCGAUCUUAGUUCCCUGACCAGGGAGCAAACCUGCUGCCCCUCCCUGCAUUGGAAGUGUGGAGUCUUAACCAAUGAACCACAAGGAACGUCCCCCUUAGAAAUUUUCGACACGUCAGAAGCUUUCCCAGGGCCAGCUCUGCAGAACCAGGAGGUGAGCUGUGCUAAUUCACUGAAGGCUUGAGGCUGUGGCCUGGAGAUCCCAGAGCUGCGACGCUUUACCCUGACCUACGUUUCUAUGAACUUCAACUCCCCAGAAGCCACUCCACAAUGAAUUCCACGGGCAACGGAGAGUUUACAUCUUUGAAGGAAGGAGGAAGAAAAGAGCAGGAGCUGAGGCCAAGAGAAACCACGGUGAUGGGGAGAGACAGCUACUGAGAGUGGUGGAGAGAGAGGAGAUCCAUCUCAACCAGUUUUGGAUCACAGCUCCCAGAGACAGGAGGACUAAAAUGGAGCCACAAAGUCUCUGAAGAAAGAAAGAGUAUAUUCUGUGUGGGACCUGUCUCUCUGAGAGCUUUGCACAUGUCACCUCAUCAGUGCUCACAACCAGAUAAAUGUCUUAGGAAUUGAUCCAGUCAACUGAUAAAAAAAUCCGAAUUCCAGUGUUCUUCCCAGUACCCAGCCCCAUGUACCAGCUCACAUGACAACCUGUUGAUGUACUGGCAUUAAGUGGAAACUAUACGUUUGAGAUGUACAUUAAAAAAGUUUUUUUUCCUACUGCAUUUACUGAGCACCUAUUGUGUGUGAGCCACUGUGCCAGCCACUGGAAUCAAAGCAAGACACCAUUACCUGCCCUCCCCUGCAGGAGACAGACACCUAAACAGCUCCACGUCCAGGAAGUCGAAGUCUCUGAAGACCCGGAACUGCUGCUCGCUGUUGGUGUCAUCCAUGUUCUCCUGCUCCCGGGCCCCGUCCUCCGACGACACCAGGCUCGUCUGAUGCUCCAGCAGGUCCAGGUCCCCGCACGACGAGAAGAUCACCUGUGAACCGAGAGGGCUCUCCUGAGAAACUACUCUCCCUUCGGUGGUUUGAGCUACAGAACCCGUAACUGGCUCCUCGUAGCACUGUAUUUCCAGUACACACCUAAUUCCUUAAGUGGGUAUUUUUAGAAUGUUCUUUUAUUAUUUAUGUUGGACAGGUGCCUUCAGAUUAAACGUUGCAAAGACGCAAGUUCAUGUA
This is a long non-coding RNA of Capra hircus (goat), 1278 nucleotides long. RefSeq lists it as uncharacterized. Lineage: Eukaryota; Metazoa; Chordata; Mammalia; Artiodactyla; Bovidae. The record is from RefSeq and is a predicted model, not a curated record. The transcript has 7 exons.